Molecule: long non-coding RNA, 1920 nt
Organism: Neodiprion fabricii
Lineage: Eukaryota; Metazoa; Arthropoda; Insecta; Hymenoptera; Diprionidae
Exons: 4
Source: RefSeq, a predicted model, not a curated record
AAAUUAAGUCGCUACUUAUGAAUCAUAAAUUCGUGAAACCGUAUACGAUGAAUAUAGAUAUCGAUACUGCAAGCAUAAAUGAAUGGAAAAUUCGUGGAGAAAAUCGUGUAUAUCAGUAAUACUUGUAUAAAAAAAAAAUUAUUUGAUUCAAUUAAAUGUGCUACUCUCUCCAUUGUUCAACAACAACGUGUAGGUAUAUUUCAGCGUCCCUCGUACCUAACUCGGUUCGACUAGGGACUGGAUCAACGUCGUCACGACGAUCGUAUUUGGUACGAUCUACAAUGCCAAGACACCCGAUAUACCUACGCAUUAUAAUAUCAAAGCGUAUAAUAUACGCUGGAGCAAAAUAAAAGAAAAAGAAACACCGAGAGUACCGGAUAAGCAUAUUACAGGGUGGCCAAAAAUUUUUGGACAACCGAAAAAUUCCACGACAACAUUUCCAGGUUUUCCCUGACAUUUUACCAGUUCUGACGUGUGACUACCCUGUAUUAAAAACACGAUUGUAACAACGCUGUGCAGGCGCGACCGUUUCAUGAUAUAGCUCAAGUUCCAAAUAGAUGUGGUAGAAGUAAAAAAAAAAUAAUUAAAUAAAACAAGAUGACGACGACGACGACGGUGAGGAUGACGAGGACCGAUACAGAAGUGGUUGACUACAAAGAAGUACGGAAAAGCGACUUGUACACCACACGGAGUGUCUCUCAUACCUUCGUCGUCGUCGUUACAAUCCUAUCGUAACGACAAAGGAAGGUGAACGGACGCGGACCGUAUGUGACACGAUUAUUAUACCGUGCAGCAUAGCCGUAACCAAGGAUUCUAACUCAACCUAGAUAUAUAAAUAAAUUAAUCAAUGAACGAGGCUUAAAUAUACCCGCCAAAAAAAAAUUUUUAAAUUUGUUCCAUCCAACUUUAGUGGAAUUAUUUUUUGGAACUCGGUUCGAACACGCACCGCGCAACAGUAUAAUAACGAGGUUGUGCUAGGAAUGGUUGGGUUCAUGCGUGUAUGCGUGCAUGUACGAAAGUGGCGACAAGGACGUUACCAAGCCUCGCCCGAGCUACGAUCGCCAAAAACUCUCCAUCGCUCAUCGGCUCGUUCUUCGAAAAGAUUUACCGUUCGGUGAAAUCGGCAGCACGAUAUCUGCAUCAUCGCGCGAUGGUGGUGGUGGUGGUGGUGGAUCAGUUUCAAGGCCGUUUUGCAUACAAUGUAUAAUAAACUGACGUGACUUUAAGCCAAACGGAUUAAACAUUCCAAAGUUUUUCUUUUCCUUCUUUCAUCAUUUCCGUUGUAGAAAUUUACAUCAAAUAAAAAAACGAAAUAAAUAUGUAUACAUAAUAUAGUAUGAUGUAAGACACAUGCAAGAUUGAACAAGAAUUGAGAGCGAUGUAAAAAGAGAAAGAACAAAUUGAAUGUUCAAUAUGAACAAUACAAAUCAGAAUCAAGUUUGUAACGUUAUUGUAAUGACGCGUCGUCGGAAACACUCGGUUAUUUUUCAACUUUAGUGGAUUACCUGAAAUUCAGGAAUCCGUUGAUAAAGCACGAAGAAACUCAGUUGUUGUCAAUUCGACUUAUUCAGAUCCAAAGUAGGAAUUUUUUUCUCAACGUGCCGAUACGGUAACGUUACUAUCUUAAGUCACGUAACAAUUAGAGCAACAUAUAAGAAUACGAUGUAGUAGUAAUAAAAAAGAAAAAAAAUGAAAAUCAGCCGACAAAGUGUUGAUAAAUACUAGGAUACGUCAUCCAUGUCACGUGCAAUAUCGAUAAUAUGAGUCGGCUCUUUUAUCACGCUUGUUUGCCCGUUUUACCGUAUAGACACGUCUAUUGUAUCCGAACGAUUAACAGACAUUGCAUAUAUACACAUAUAUCCACACUCCAAUGUCCAUGUCCAUAUGCACGUAGCGUACGAUUCAGAGAAAUGCACACCU